GAUGAACGCUGGCGGCGUGCCUAAUACAUGCAAGUCGAGCGAACGGACGAGAAGCUUGCUUCUCUAAUGUUAGCGGCGGACGGGUGAGUAACACGUGGAUAACCUACCUAUAAGACUGGGAUAACUUCGGGAAACCGUAGCUAAUACCGGAUAAUAUUUUGAACCGCAUGGUUCAAAAGUGAAAGACGGUCUUGCUGUCACUUAUAGAUGGAUCCGCGCUGCAUUAGCUAGUUGGUAAGGUAACGGCUUACCAAGGCAACGAUGCAUAGCCGACCUGAGAGGGUGAUCGGCCACACCGGAACUGAGACACGGUCCAGACUCCUACGGGAGGCAGCAGUAGGGAAUCUUCCGCAAUGGGCGAAAGCCUGACGGAGCAACGACGCGUGAGUGAUGAAGGUCUUCGGAUCGUAAAACUCUGUUAUUAGGGAAGAACAUAUGUGUAAGUAACUGUGCACAUCUUGACGGUACCUAAGCAGAAAGCCACGGCUAACUACGU
RNAcentral lists this ribosomal RNA (496 nucleotides) under uncultured bacterium. Its description in RNAcentral is "partial 16S ribosomal RNA". It matches the Rfam family "Bacterial small subunit ribosomal RNA", at positions 28 to 506 of the family's 1533-position model. The record is from RNAcentral.